Molecule: non-coding RNA, 29 nt
Filed under: Homo sapiens (human)
Lineage: Eukaryota; Metazoa; Chordata; Mammalia; Primates; Hominidae
Source: RNAcentral
UCCCCAAAUGCAGCUGAUGUCACCUCACC